RNAcentral lists this ribosomal RNA (301 nucleotides) under uncultured bacterium. RNAcentral's name for it is "partial 16S ribosomal RNA". It matches the Rfam family "Bacterial small subunit ribosomal RNA", at positions 509 to 807 of the family's 1533-position model. The record is from RNAcentral.
CAGUAGCCGCGGUAAUACGAAGGGUGCAAGCGUUAAUCGGAAUUACUGGGCGUAAAGCGUGUGUAGGCGGUGAGUUAAGUCUGCUGUGAAAUCCCCGGGCUCAACCUGGGAAUGGCAGUGGAUACUGGCUCGCUAGAGUGUGUCAGAGGGGGGUGGAAUUCCGCGUGUAGCAGUGAAAUGCGUAGAUAUGCGGAGGAACACCGAUGGCGAAGGCAGCCCCCUGGGCCAACACUGACGCUCAUGCACGAAAGCGUGGGGAGCAAACAGGAUUAGAUACCCGUGUAGUCCCUGUCUCUUAUAC